AAAGUCGUAACAAGGUUUCCGUAGGUGAACCUGUAGUAGAAAAAUUG
Molecule: ribosomal RNA, 47 nt
Filed under: Juglans regia (Persian walnut)
Lineage: Eukaryota; Viridiplantae; Streptophyta; Magnoliopsida; Fagales; Juglandaceae
Description: 18S ribosomal RNA
Source: RNAcentral